Molecule: ribosomal RNA, 99 nt
Filed under: Lottia gigantea (owl limpet)
Lineage: Eukaryota; Metazoa; Mollusca; Gastropoda; Lottiidae
Source: RNAcentral
AGCUACGGCCAUACCACGAUGAAAGAACCAGUUAAGCUACAUCGGGUUUUGUUAGUACUUGGAUGGGUGACCGCCUUGGUACACCGAGUGCUGUAAAUU